This 233-nucleotide ribosomal RNA is filed under the name uncultured bacterium. RNAcentral describes it as "partial 16S ribosomal RNA". It matches the Rfam family "Bacterial small subunit ribosomal RNA", at positions 1269 to 1500 of the family's 1533-position model. The record is from RNAcentral.
AAAACUCAAAAAAAUAAGUCUCAGUUCGGAUUGUAGUCUGCAACUCGACUACAUGAAGCUGGAAUCGCUAGUAAUCGCGAAUCAGAAUGUCGCGGUGAAUACGUUCCCGGGUCUUGUACACACCGCCCGUCACACCAUGGGAGUUGGGAAUGCCCGAAGCCGGUGACCUAACCGAAAGGGAGGAGCCGUCGAAGGCAGGCUUGAUAACUGGGGUGAAGUCGUAACAAGGUAGC